GCACUAGUAGCUCAGUAUAAAGAGCAUCG
This 29-nucleotide transfer RNA is filed under the name Pamphorichthys araguaiensis. Its description in RNAcentral is "partial tRNA-Thr". Lineage: Eukaryota; Metazoa; Chordata; Actinopteri; Cyprinodontiformes; Poeciliidae. The record is from RNAcentral.